CUCAGUGGGUUAAGGAUCCGGUGUUUCUGUAAGCUGUGGCAUAGGUUGCAGACAUGGCUCGGAUCUGGCAUUGCUAUGGCUGUGGGGGUAGGCUGGCAGCUACAGUUCCAAUUCAACCCCCAGCCUGGGAACCUCCAUAUGCCUUAGGUGCAGCCCUAAAAAAUAAAAAUAAAAAUAAAAAUUAAAAAAAAAACUAAGGAAUUUCCCAUUGUGGCUCAGCAGUAGCAAACCCGACAAGCAUCCAUGAGGACUCAGGUUUGAUCCCUGGCCUUGCUCAGUGGAUUAAGGAUCUGGCAUUGCUCUGGCUGUGGCAUAAGCCAACAGCUGUAGCCAGGGAACUUCAAUAUGCCACAGGUGUGGCCCUAAAAGGAAAAAAAUAAAGUUAUUUAAAUCAAGGGAAAACCCUUUGAAAAACUCUUCCCUCAUAUACCUAACUGCUGUCACAUGGCUAUUUCAUUUUGUUCACUUCUGGCCAUUCGAUUUUCCCCUUUAAAGAGCAUUAGUUUCUACAGAAACAAGAAUGUUUGGGGAAAGCUUAGAAAUAUCCAGACCACAUGUGGUAUACAGUAAACUCCUGCAAUGUUUUGAAAUGUAUCUCCUGGUUUAGUUAAUUGAAGAAUAGAAUUAUAGAAGGUCACUGUUGCUAUAUCUCAGAUAUGAGUUUAUUUGACAGAUUAUAUGCUCAUAUUUGGGCCUGUCCCUAGCUUAUUUUAUAUGAUUCUGAUAAAGUAUUUCCUGAGAGCUAAAACCUUUCCUUAAAUUUUGCUGCAUUGCUUGAUUAUUUUGAAAAAUGGCAGCUGAAUUAAAGGAAUUGUUUACUCCUAGAGCAAAAUGCAGCUUUUGGUACCCUGGCCUCACCUACAUUUGCUUUAUUAGCCUCAAAACAUUUUUUGAAAUGAGGUUGACUUGCUACUUACUGCGCUAAGGAGGCACCUCAAAACAUUUUUUUUUAAAGAUCCUCUGAGAUCGGCUCUAAGGAAAUUCAAAUCAGGGCCUGUCACAGGUGAGUGACAAGAAUAUAGAUGAGAAAACACAGAGAUGUUUUCACCAACUGUCUCUCUCUAUGGCUGCUGAACAGAAUGAAAUUGAUACGCCUCACCCAAUCUUUAGUGAAAUAGAAGUUCCAUGAAGACAUGGAUCUGGCAUGUCUCUGGGUCUUGAGUGAACGCCCUUGGCUAUGUUGAAGCAGAGGAUCUUGUGUUUUUCUAAAUAGUAAUUUAUGUGCAAUCUGCCUUUAUUGUUGUUUGCUAAGCAAGGUUAUAAUUUAUUCACUCAUCAAAUAUUUACCAAUGUUUGCUACGUAUCAGGAAUUGUUGUAGGUGUUGAUAAUACAGCAACGAGUAAAAGAGAUUAAAGUCCUCAACCCUAUUAGCUCACAGUAGGACUUCUAUAUUCCCAGAUAAAAUAAGUAAAAUAAAAUAUAUUUUAUUGCUAUGGAUGGAAAUAAAGAAGGGAGGGUAUUAGAGAAUGUUCGAGGGGAGGCCAUAAGUUCAGAUAGGCUGGCUAGGGUACUUACCUUUACUAUGGAACAUCCUUCAGGGUUAAAAGGUUGCCAGGAUUUGUAUCCAGAAAACCCUAUAGUCAUAUUCAACUGAGUUUCACCAAAUCUACCACCAAAACACUUCAUAUAAAUUGAUGACUUCCUCUAGUUUUGAUUUUUCUAACUUUUCUAGUUUUAAUUCUUACAGAAGUAUGGAAAAAAACAAAGAUAUUUCCAGUCUUAUUAAAGUUUCAAAGUGGUAUAGCUGAUCAGUCACUCAGGAAUUUUACAAAUAUUUUUUGAGUACCUACUCUGUGGCAAACAUUACAAUAUAUUGAUGAGAAUACUUUUAGUUGCAUAUUAAAAAAACAAAAAACAAAAAACGUGACUCAGAGUUUGCUGGUGGCUCAGUGGAUUAAGGAUCCAGCAUUGUCACUGCCGUGGCUGAGGUCACUGCUAUGACACAAGAUCAAUCCCUGGACUCAGAACUUCCGAAUGCCAGCAAAAUAAAAGAUAAAAAUGGAGUUCCCGUUGUGGCUCAGCGGUUAACAAACCCAACUAGCAUCUCUGAGGACACAGCAACGCCAGAUCCUUAACCCACUGAGCAAGACCAGGGAUUGAACCCUCAUCCUCGUGGAUACUAGUCGGGUUCAUUACUGCUGAACCACAAUGGGAACUCUCCUAGCUCCCUUCCAAAUACUGAUAGCAGUUGCCAGGGACCGAGUGUUUUCUAUGUGUCAGUUCCUGUGCUGAGCUUUUGGUGUGGAGUGUUGUAUUUUAUUCUUACUACAUCUCUAAUAACCGGGAACUCUGAUCCUUAUUUUUCAAAUGAGGGAACUAAGUUUGAGAGUUUAAGUGACUUGUCCAAUGUCAUGUCCCUAAGAAAUAUCUGCCUUGAAAUCUUUGUAAAUUAAAAUCUACAAAUUUGGGAGCAUGGAAUACUUCCCAAAAGGCUGCCUACAUAGAGUCAUUGUUUCUUUAUUCCUCCCCUAACUCCUGGAGUUGGGUUUUUUGUUUUUUUUUUCCCCUGAGUUGGGUAGGAGGUGUUGACUCACCUCCACUGCCAGUACAUCACUUAUGGGUGUUAUCAGUACCCUCAAAUUGCCCCAUCUGGACUCUGGGCCCAGAUAACCACUGCAUAAGCAGCCAGCUGUGCUGUUUGCCAGAUGCACUCUUGAUUGCUACUCUGUUUGGAAUCAGUCAGUAUAAUACUUGGCUGAUGACUCUGACCCAGAACUUUGAGUGCCUUUGCUAAUUAAGCUCUUGGCAGAGUAUUCCAACUGCCCACCCAUGGAAUUCCUGGCUCCUAGAAAUAAUUUAGAAUGUCUAGAAAGUGCAAGUCCCACUAUGGAUAGUGCCAUGCAUUGUGUUAAAAACGCUCAUCCGUGGAACAUUAAUAUCCAUGAACUUGGUGUUCCUGUUGUGGUUCAGGGGUAACAAACCAGACUAGUAUCCAUGAGGAUGCAGGUUCAGUCCCUGGCCUUGCUCAGUAGAUUAAGGAUCCGGCAUUGCUGUGAGCUGUGGUGUAGGCUGCAGACACAGCUCAGAUCCCACGUUGCUGUGGCUGUCGUGUAGGCUGGCGGCUACAGCUCCGAUUCGACCCCUAGCCUGGGAACCUCUAUAUGCCUCAGGUGCAGCCUUAAAAAGACCAAAAAAAAAAAAAAAAAAAAA
RNAcentral lists this long non-coding RNA (3151 nucleotides) under Sus scrofa (pig). RNAcentral's name for it is "lncRNA (ENSSSCG00060076591.1)". Lineage: Eukaryota; Metazoa; Chordata; Mammalia; Artiodactyla; Suidae. The record is from RNAcentral.